AAAUUGAUAAUAUUUUAUUAGUAGUAGUGACUAGAUAAUAUAUACACUACAUACAUAUGCAUACAUUUUUUUUAAUGGUAUUGUGUCAGGUGUGAAAAACUACAUGAUAAACAAAAAUGUGAAACAAAAGGGAACAACAACAUGAAUUAUCAAAAAUUACAAAGAAAAAUUUAGGUUGUAAGAAUUAAGCAUAUGAUAUGUACUACCAUAAUAAAAUGAUUAUAAUGAUACAUACCUUGAUAAAAUAUGGCUCAACUUCGAUGGAGUUAAGAAUGAAAUUAGAGCUUCGUGCUCUAUAAUGAUACAUACCUUAAUAAAAUAUGGCUCAACUUUGCUGGAGCUAAGAAUGAAAUUAGAGCUUCGGCUCAUAACGUGUUAUAAAAUGAAAGUAAUUUAGUAAAACAUGAACAAGAAAUAUAAGCAACUUAGUGAAACAAGAACAAGAAAUAUAGAUAGAGAGAAGGAAGAGAUUUUCUUCUUCAAUUGUUGU
This 490-nucleotide long non-coding RNA is filed under the name Nicotiana benthamiana. RNAcentral's name for it is "long non-coding RNA (NBEN_LNC019605)". The record is from RNAcentral. Lineage: Eukaryota; Viridiplantae; Streptophyta; Magnoliopsida; Solanales; Solanaceae.